RNAcentral lists this unclassified non-coding RNA (289 nucleotides) under uncultured fungus. RNAcentral's name for it is "partial contains 5.8S rRNA, ITS2 and 28S rRNA". It matches the Rfam family "Eukaryotic large subunit ribosomal RNA", at positions 668 to 961 of the family's 3401-position model. Lineage: Eukaryota; Fungi. The record is from RNAcentral.
AAGGAGUCUAACAUCUAUGCGAGUGUUCGGGUGUCAAACCCCUACGCGUAAUGAAAGUGAACGGAGGUGAGAACCGCAAGGCGCAUCAUCGACCGAUCCUGAUGUCUUCGGAUGGAUUUGAGUAAGAGCAUAGCGGGUGGGACCCGAAAGAUGGUGAACUAUGCCUGAAUAGGGUGAAGCCAGAGGAAACUCUGGUGGAGGCUCGCAGCGGUACUGACGUGCAAAUCGAUCGUCAAACUUGGGUAUAGGGGCGAAAGACUAAUCGAACCAUCUAGUAGCUGGUUCCUGC